CACCCUUCUCAAAGAAACCGUACGUGACACUCUCGCGUCAUACGGCUCCGUCCCGGAAUCAGGACCUCCCCUCUCCUUUUACUUCGUAACCUCGAACCCUUUCUUUUCAUUCAUUCAUUGAAGGUAGCUGUAGCUUGCUUCCCAUUCCAAGCGCUAGCGGGUACAAGAUAGUCGCCAGAAGCUAACUUCCGGGCCAGGAAGGAUCCAAAAAAAGUAAGCGCCCCUGCAAUCUUUUUAAAGCAACAAGCGAGAAACAGAAAGAAGCGCCAUUAUAAUAUUAGUAAAGGCCACUUACUAUAGAUAGGCUAAGGGCCCUUUUCUUGCUCGUUAGCGCUUUAGUUUUAAAUAAGGACGUUUAGGUUUUUCUAAUAGAAUAUAUGGGGCUUUUCUCGCUUGUUUAGUAUUGCUUUGGCUUUGCCGUCCGCGCGGAAGCCACCGCAACUAAAAAAAAAUGAAUGAAGGAAGAAGGCAUUAGCAUUAGAAAGACUACAAAUACAUUCCGGGCCGACUACAAGACUACGACUACAAUACAAGUCAUGAGCGAUAGCGAAGCCAAGCCCGAUAGGCUUUUUUAUGUCGAAAGCCCCCUCUCGCUAUCUUAUAGCAGACAACUAACGCAAGCCUACUCAACAAAUCUCAUAACAUAAGUAAACGCCUGUUCGCAUCGCAACUAAUAGAAAAAAAACAACUACUAGACUAGACUAGUAGUUGAGUGCUCCUUGUUGUUCGGAUCUUGACCGGUUCCGAGCUUCCCCAGCUCUAUGCUGUUGGGGAACUCUGCAAGGGUCUUACCACCUUCUUGAUUUACUAUAUUUGAGUCUUUGGAGUACUUUGGGAUUAUAUUCC
Fragaria vesca subsp. vesca is the source of this 846-nucleotide RNA transcript. RefSeq lists it as uncharacterized. Lineage: Eukaryota; Viridiplantae; Streptophyta; Magnoliopsida; Rosales; Rosaceae. The record is from RefSeq and is a predicted model, not a curated record. The transcript is spliced from 2 exons.